UCCCUGGUGGCUCAGACGGUAAAGCGUCUGCCUACAAUGCAGGAGACCCGGGUUCGAUCCCUGGGUAGGGAA
Molecule: transfer RNA, 72 nt
Filed under: Bos taurus (domestic cattle)
Lineage: Eukaryota; Metazoa; Chordata; Mammalia; Artiodactyla; Bovidae
Also listed under: 2 other names
Rfam family: tRNA
About the family: Transfer RNA (tRNA) molecules are approximately 80 nucleotides in length. Their secondary structure includes four short double-helical elements and three loops (D, anti-codon, and T loops).
Source: Rfam by way of RNAcentral